This 1969-nucleotide long non-coding RNA is filed under the name Homo sapiens (human). RNAcentral's name for it is "HSALNT0063909". Lineage: Eukaryota; Metazoa; Chordata; Mammalia; Primates; Hominidae. The record is from RNAcentral.
CAGUAUAAUUUUUGAGGACUCUCAAAAAAAUUCAAGAAAAGGCUUAAAGAAACUUAAUGAAUGGAAGGAAUACAGAGAGAAGUGGGAAGAACGGAGGAAACUUACCAAACAAAUUGGGUCCAGGAGCCCUGAAGAGACUUUAGUGAACUGGACAGCUAUUCCACAAGAGAACUGGAAAGAAUUUAAUUCUAUUCAGCUCAAGGAGAGAAGCAAAUUAUCAGGUGGAUGUGGAACAGCUUACACAAUCAAAGGGAAAUCUGGAAAACCAGGCCUCAUACACAACCCAGAACCAGUGGAUAGGCAAGAGCAAGAACCAAUAGGUAGCCUUGGGCUGCUAUCAUCAAGAUGCAUCAAUUGUCAUCAUUUUCAGUCUUUUUUUUUUUGGUCCCUCUGUGUCCAGAUUUAAAUUUUAGAAAUAGAGUAAGAAAUUAGCCCUGCUUGAGAUCCCAGCACCAUCAAGAGCACCAUUAAUCCCACCUGAAGGUGUGGGGCAGGAAAGACUAGUUCCUAUACAGUCGUAUAGAGAGGCUCCUCACAAAUAAGUGGGAAUAAGUUAUGGACAUCAAAAACAACAAAUAUCCAUACCACCUGUAUCACUGGAAAACUAACAUAUAUAAGGGCCAAUAAUUUCAGGCCAGGUACAUAAUUUGUUAAUGUCAGGGGUAGAGGGAUAACAUAGAUAGCACAUACAAAAUUAGAACUGCUCCAGAAGGACCUGUAAUCCUAAAACAUUACAGUUCUUUAAUUGUCUUAGAGAAUUCUUGAAGAAUUAUUUUGCUUUAAAUGCUUCAGUUAUUAAUUUUACUGAUGACUCUGCAAGACUCACAAUGAAACUGUAGCCAAGUAGCCAAGUGUUACCGAGAAUUAAAGCACACUGAUUCAUAAAGACAUUUUGGGGGUGUAUGCAAAAAAAAUGGUCAGGAAGAAACUAAAGCUUUUGUCUAAAUCAAAAGCAUUCAAUAAUCAAUAUCUAGAAAGGAGAACAGAAACCACUCUAAAUAUUUUAAGCAGAGAAGAAGGAUUUAAUGCAGAGGGUUGCAUUCAAGGGCAUUGGAAGGGCUAGGAGAACAAAAGGAAGAAAAAGAUGUAAAGGAGAGACCAGGAAAUAACUAAGGGCCCCACUCCCCACGGAGUUACAGGAGUGUGGCUGCUGUUGCUGCUGCCUGGAUGUUGCCCUUAUUGCGGUUGCUGGAACCACUGAUUGCCUUCACUUACCUGUCACUAUUACUGAUAAAGUCACCCCUCCUCCUGCCUUCUUACCUCCCUCAACUGCUUUCCAUGGUACCUCACUGGAAACCAGGUAGCAAGAGAGUGUCGGGGGUGAAGAUUUGGCUCAUCAGGGCCCCUAAGAUACAGUGGAAUAGGGAAAUGGUGCUGGUUACCAACAGACUAUAUCUGGCAUAGAACUGCCUAAACUGGACAUACAUACCUAGUUAGUGGAGAAAGCCUCCAAUAGCUCCCUAUUGUUCUUCAAAUGAAUAUCAUCAGGUCGACAUGGCCUCCAGGGCACCCCAUGACCUAGUUCUUGCCUACCUGUUUAGUCUUUCCCUACUUGCCUUUCUCAGAUUUACCGGAUUACUUUCAGUCACCAAAUUCAAUUUCACUUCCAAGGACUGUGCACAGCAUAUGUGUGAACUUGGAGCACUCCUAUCUUCCUCCAAUCCAGAAUCCCACUCCUCCAGUCAUCCCCUAUAUUCUCACUUGGCUAAUUUAGUUUAUUCUUCAGAUUUUAAUGUACAUGUUAGUCUUUCAGUGAAACAUUCCUUGAUAUCUUCUCACUUUCUCUCACCUAUUAGUGUAAAUUAACUAGUCCUGUUGUGUCUCUCAUCAAACAAUUUGCCACACAUUCAAUGCACCUAUUGCAAUCUGUAAUUGUAUACAUAGGUAUUAGUGUAUUAUUUAAGAACUCUAUUGCUAAUGUCUUAGGCUCCAUGAAUGAACUAACUGUAUCUACUUUGAUCAAUGCUGU